Molecule: ribosomal RNA, 463 nt
Filed under: uncultured bacterium
Lineage: Bacteria
Description: partial 16S ribosomal RNA
Rfam family: Bacterial small subunit ribosomal RNA
Source: RNAcentral
GACGAACGCUGGCGGCGUGCUUAACACAUGCAAGUCGAGCGGUAAGGCCCUUCGGGGUACCCGAGCGGCGAACGGGUGAGUAACACGUGAGUAAUCUGCCCAUCACUUCGGGAUAACUCCGGGAAACCGGUGCUAAUACCGAAUAUGACCACUUCAGGCAUCUGAUGGUGGUGGAAAGUUCCGGCGGUGAUGGAUGAGCUCGCGGCCUAUCAGCUUGUUGGUGGGGUAGUGGCCUACCAAGGCUUCGACGGGUAGCCGGCCUGAGAGGGUGACCGGCCACACUGGGACUGAGAGACGGCCCAGACUCCUACGGGAGGCAGCAGUGGGGAAUAUUGGACAAUGGGCGAAAGACUGAUCCAGAAACGCAGCGUGAGGGAUGACGGCCUUCGGGUUGUAAACCUCGUUCAGCAGGGACGAAGCGCAAGUGACGGUACCUGCAGAAGAAGCACCGGCAAACUACGUG